Molecule: ribosomal RNA, 174 nt
Filed under: Arhopala eumolphus
Lineage: Eukaryota; Metazoa; Arthropoda; Insecta; Lepidoptera; Lycaenidae
Description: partial 16S large subunit ribosomal RNA
Source: RNAcentral
UAAAUUAAAUUUACUUUUUAUUAAUUUAAUUUUCAAUUAUUUCAAAUUUCUAUCACUACACUAAUUCACUAUAAAUUUUUUAAUUUUUUCUAUUAAAAUACUUUAACCCCCAUUAUAUAUAUUUUAAUAUUAAAAUUAUUUUUAUUAAAUUUAUAUUAUUAAUUUUUAAAUUAU